RNAcentral lists this ribosomal RNA (1449 nucleotides) under uncultured prokaryote. RNAcentral describes it as "partial 16S ribosomal RNA". It matches the Rfam family "Bacterial small subunit ribosomal RNA". The record is from RNAcentral.
GAUGAACGCUAGCGGGAGGCUUAACACAUGCAAGUCGAGGGGCAGCACGAGGUAGCAAUACUUUGGUGGCGACCGGCGCACGGGUGAGUAACGCGUAUGUAACCUACCUUGUACAGGGGGAUAGCCCGGAGAAAUUCGGAUUAAUACCCCAUAAUGAUAUUUGAAGGCAUCUUUGAAUAUUUAAAGUUUCGACGGUUUGAGAUGGGCAUGCGUGACAUUAGCUAGUUGGUAAGGUAAUGGCUUACCAAGGCUACGAUGUCUAGGGGUUCUGAGAGGAUGAUCCCCCACACUGGUACUGAGACACGGACCAGACUCCUACGGGAGGCAGCAGUGAGGAAUAUUGGUCAAUUGGCGCAAGCCUGAACCAGCCAUCCCGCGUGUAGGAAGACUGCCCUAUGGGUUGUAAACUACUUUUUUAUGGGAAGAAAAUUCUGUACGUGUACAGAACUGACGGUACCAUACGAAUAAGCAUCGGCUAACUCCGUGCCAGCAGCCGCGGUAAUACGGAGGAUGCAAGCGUUAUCCGGAUUUAUUAGGUUUAAAGGGUGUGUAGGCGGAGCAGUAAGUCAGUGGUGAAAUCCUGCGGCUUAACCGUAGAACUGCCAUUGAAACUACUGCCCUUGAGUACAGUUGAGGUAGGCGGAAUGUGUCAUGUAGCGGUGAAAUGCAUAGAGAUGACACAGAACACCGAUUGCGUAGGCAGCUUACUAAACUGCUGUCACUGACGCUGAGGCACGAAAGCGUGGGGAGCGAACAGGAUUAGAUCCCCUGGUAGUCCACGCCGUAAACGAUGAUCUCUCGUUGUUAGCGAUAUAUUGUUAGCGACUGAGCGAAAGCAUUAAGUGAUCCACCUGGGGAGUACGUUGGCAACAAUGAAACUCAAAGGAAUUGACGGGGGCCCGCACAAGCGGAGGAACAUGUGGUUUAAUUCGAUAAUACGCGAGGAACCUUACCUGGACUUAAAUGUAGAGCGCAUAAGUUAGACUGUUUUUUCCUUCGGGACUCUUUACAAGGUGCUGCAUGGUUGUCGUCAGCUCGUGCCGUGAGGUGUCGGGUUAAGUCCCAUAACGAGCGCAACCCCUAUCGUUAGUUGCCAGCGAGUCAAGUCGGGGACUCUAACGAGACUGCCGGUGUAAACCGCGAGGAAGGUGGGGAUGACGUCAAAUCAGCACGGCCCUGACGUCCAGGGCUACACACGUGUUACAAUGGCCGAUACAAAGGGCAGCUACCAGGUGACUGGAUGCUAAUCUCUAAAGUCGGUCUUAGUUCGGAUCGAAGUCUGCAACUCGACUUCGUGAAGCUGGAUUCGCUAGUAAUCGUAGAUAAGCAACGCUACGGUGAAUACGUUCCCGGGCCUUGUACACACCGCCCGUCAAGCCAUGGAAGCUGGGGGUACCUGAAGUCUGUCACCGCAAGGAGCGGCCUAGGGUAAAACUGGUAACUGGGGCU